This 475-nucleotide ribosomal RNA is filed under the name Apilactobacillus kunkeei. Its description in RNAcentral is "bacterial SSU rRNA". It matches the Rfam family "Bacterial small subunit ribosomal RNA", at positions 34 to 475 of the family's 1533-position model. Lineage: Bacteria; Bacillati; Bacillota; Bacilli; Lactobacillales; Lactobacillaceae. The record is from RNAcentral.
CGCUGGCGGCGUGCCUAAUACAUGCAAGUCGAACGAGCUCUCCCAAAUUGAUUUUAUGCUUGCAUAAAUGAUUUUUGGAUUCGGAGCGAGUGGCGAACUGGUGAGUAACACGUGGGUAACCUGCCCCGAAGCGGGGGAUAACAUUUGGAAACAAGUGCUAAUACCGCAUAAUUAGUUGGAACCGCAUGGUUCCAACUUGAAAGAUGGCUCUGCUAUCACUUUGGGAUGGACCCGCGCCGUAUUAGUUAGUUGGUGAGAUAAAAGCCCACCAAGACGAUGAUACGUAGCCGACCUGAGAGGGUAAUCGGCCACAUUGGGACUGAGACACGGCCCAGACUCCUACGGGAGGCAGCAGUAGGGAAUCUUCCACAAUGGACGAAAGUCUGAUGGAGCAACGCCGCGUGAGUGAUGAAGGUUUUCGGAUCGUAAAACUCUGUUGUUAAAGAAGAACAAGUGUUAGAGUAACUGUUAACAC